Molecule: ribosomal RNA, 253 nt
Filed under: uncultured bacterium
Lineage: Bacteria
Description: partial 16S ribosomal RNA
Rfam family: Bacterial small subunit ribosomal RNA
Source: RNAcentral
GACAGAGGGUGCGAACGUUGUUCGGAAUUACUGGGCGUAAAGCGCGUGUAGGCGGCAGCGCAAGUCGGGCGUGAAAUCCCACGGCUCAACCGUGGAAGUGCACUCGAAACUGCGCAGCUAGAGUCCUGGAGAGGAAGGUGGAAUGCUUGGUGUAGAGGUGAAAUUCGUAGAUAUCGGGAGGAACACCAGUGGCGAAGGCGGCGAUCUGGACGGAUACUGACGCUGAGGUGCGAAAGCGUGGGGAGCAAACAGG